This is a non-coding RNA of Ciona intestinalis (vase tunicate), 1637 nucleotides long. The record is from RefSeq and is a predicted model, not a curated record. Lineage: Eukaryota; Metazoa; Chordata; Ascidiacea; Phlebobranchia; Cionidae.
GGACGAGAAAAUAUAAUGAAAAGGUGCAUCUAACCUCACCCUACUAAAUAUUAUCUUGUUAUUAUAGCCUAAAAAUCAGAGUAUUAUAUUCGCAAAAUUUAAUCGGCUUUAUUAUGAUCUAGCGAGCAUUCCAAAUUAGCACCUUACUAUUUCGCAUUUUUUACCUGUACAAAAAAAUUAAAAAAUAGUGUUUAACCAACUUUUUUUAAAACAACAGUAAUCGGCUUUGACGCGCGUCUUAUAAACUCGUGAUAAUACUGUCGAAUAAUUCUGUAACAUUUUUCUGAUUAUCAUUAAAUCUUCCUCCCAACUAUCUAUUUGUUUAAAGUCAGUAUAAAUUUUAGUUCAAAUGCACAUUUUCCACACCGAGCUGAUAUAGCCAACAUUUCGUUCAAAACAUUGCGACACAUUUCAUAGGAUAUUUCCAAUAAAUACAGACGUUUAUUCAUUUAUAACUGUUAACAUCGUGCAAUAUUAUUUGCUUCCUAAGAUAACUGUUUAUGACAACUUAUACAAGGUUUUUAUGCACCAAUAUUUAGAGAUCCAAAAUUCAACAAAAACAAGCAACAAACUCAAAAAGGAUAUAAGAGGUCGAACCCUGACCGCAACUUCGACUCGCGUUGGUGUUCCGACCCGGCGGGACUUCUGUUGUUCAUGCGACCUUACCAGCAAGCGCGUCGCAUUGGACUUUGCCAUCCACACAACAAACUUUUAAGUCGAUGCUUCGUAUAUUCAAAUAUGUUGGGUAACCUUUUCAUAGCAGUGGUUCUUCUUUUCUUAUCCGGUGUCGUGUAAAAUUAUACGGAAUGUGUCAUCGCAGAAAUUUUUACAUAAUAAUGUUUUAAUGAAAUAUAUGCAGCGUAUAUAGUCUACUGUAAGUUGAUAACUCACACUUGUUUGCUAGGUUGAUUAAAUUUGACGUUUGCUAUUGCAAUUGAAUGAGGUAAAUAAGACAUAUAGUAGGGUGGGGUAAGUUGGGACAGUUAUUAUGUUAUUCAAAUUUACACAAAUGUUUUUUAUUCAAAUUUACAAAGAUUCAUAACUGUUCCUUCUUACUCCGUCUGUUUGUUUAUCGUUAAAAUUCCACUUGGCGUACGAAUCGCUAAAUACCUUUACGUGUCUUUUAAUAUAUUUCUUUGCCGUGUUGUCAAUUAAUAAUUGUACAUACGGUAGCCUAGUACAAAUUUCAUGGUAUGACACAAAAAGGUCAUGUAUAAGCAUCCAGUCUUGCCCCACCUUACUAGAUGACCGACACUCCGAACAACCCAUCAGAAAAUCCUGGGUUGGAGCAAUAAAAGUUCAGACUCCUACUGAACGACACAUCAGUACAUAAUAGUCAAAGCGAUGAGCCUGGAACCCCCAUCAAACGUAAACUUCAAUAUCUUUAAUUCUCCACUGAUGAUUUCAUGCUGAUUAAAUUUGUCUGAGACAACAUCCAUUUAUCACCAAAGAAACCAAACUUUACAAGUACACUACAAAACAGCACAGCGCGUUUAUUAUACUAACACAUCUAUUAUAGUGAAACUGCGCUUGCACAAUCGUCUUCAGUAUCCAGUUACACACAUAAAAGUGCCCGACAUAUAAGCGGUGCGGCCAGUUGCGCAAUACAUCAUUAACGAAGCAGGCAUGGAAGAAAA